GCUCAGCUCUGGUGCAGGGAACAAGGGCUGCAGGUCAGACUCCCGGGCUCCCUUCCCAGUUCUGCCGCUUCCUGGCUGGGGGCCUGGGGCAGGCAAUUCCCCUUACUGAGCAUCAGUUUUUCAUCUGUCAAGUGGGUGGGGUGGAUGUUUCUGUGCUGCAUGACUGUUGUGGGGGUUGGAGGUGGUGAAUAGAAGGUCCAGCAGUCACCUGCGCACAGAAGGAGCUCAUUUCAAUGACAUCACCCCCAUUCCUGACAUCAUUGUGCUCAAGGUCUGGGAAGGCACCUGGGGGUUGUGACCAGUGUAUUGGUGGCCUUCGUCCUACUGCUCCUCCUCCUCUUCCUCGUCCUCCGACAUCGACGUCAGGGCAAACACUGGACAUCGGCCCAGAGAAAGGCUGAUUUCCAACAUCCCGCAGGGGCUGUGGAGCCAGAGCCCAGAGACAGAGGCCUGCAGAGGAGGUAAUUCUUCCCAAAGACCCCAGACUCCCACCCGCCCCUCGCCCAUACACUGCCCCUAAAGCUCCCGUUCCUCCCCCAGGUCCAGCCCCGCUGCCGACGCCCAGGAAGAAAACCCCUAUGCUACCGUGAAGGACACACAGCCUGAGGAUGGGGUGGAGCUGGACACUCGGGUGAGAC
Molecule: small RNA, 638 nt
Filed under: Pongo abelii (Sumatran orangutan)
Lineage: Eukaryota; Metazoa; Chordata; Mammalia; Primates; Hominidae
Description: retained intron
Source: RNAcentral